This 304-nucleotide ribosomal RNA is filed under the name uncultured bacterium. RNAcentral's name for it is "partial 16S ribosomal RNA". It matches the Rfam family "Bacterial small subunit ribosomal RNA", at positions 506 to 807 of the family's 1533-position model. The record is from RNAcentral.
CAGCAGUAGCCACGGGAAUACAGAGGGUGCGAGCGUUAAUCAGAUUUACUGGGCGUAAAGCGUGCGUAGGCGGCUUUUUAAGUCGGAUGUGAAAUCCCUGAGCUUAACUUAGGAAUUGCAUUCGAUACUGGGAAGCUAGAGUAUGGGAGAGGUUGGUAGAAUUCCAGGUGUAGCGGUGAAAUGCGUAGAGAUCUGGAGGAAUACCGAUGGCGAAGGCAGCCAUCUGGCCUAAUACUGACGCUGAGGUACGAAAGCAUGGGGAGCAAACAGGAUUAGAUACCCCCGUAGUCCCUGUCUCUUAUAC